RNAcentral lists this microRNA (23 nucleotides) under Gallus gallus (chicken). RNAcentral describes it as "gga-miR-1590". The record is from miRBase by way of RNAcentral. Lineage: Eukaryota; Metazoa; Chordata; Aves; Galliformes; Phasianidae.
AGGGACAAAUUGCUCUCUGGAAG